This 92-nucleotide non-coding RNA is filed under the name Paenisporosarcina sp. OV554. The record is from RNAcentral. Lineage: Bacteria; Bacillati; Bacillota; Bacilli; Caryophanales; Caryophanaceae.
GAUUGCCGUCGUAGUCCGUGUAAGAUUGUGAAGAUAGAACCUUUCCGACUUUAAUGAUGAGUGGAAGGAUUCAAUCGGGGCAUUAUCAGCUG